CUCCAAAAAUCCAUUUUCAAAUCCCUAACUCCCAAUUCACUUCUUCUUCCCAAAUUAUUAAUUCUCAAAUCAAAACUCAACGGCACCUCUUCUCUCUCACGCCGAUUUCUUCCAUCGCGACUGUCAACCGCCGGCUCUGGAACGACGACGAGCUGGUGUCGUCGCUGCCACUCGGCCAGCUCCGCCGCCUUUACUCCCUGCUACCGGAGCAACAUCUGCUUCGAGGGUGGUUCAUGGUGUCUGGUCGACGCCGGCCCGUCCCUCUGUCCAUCGGCUCGCCGUUGCUUCUCAGUCAGUGCCUCCCUCCGUUCCCUCUCUCGGCUACUACACAGCGGUGCAGUACUGUUGCCCUUCCCGCCAUUGCCGCGCUGCUGAGACCUCGCCGGCAGCCUCCGCCGGCGUGUUUGCUGCCGCCACCGCUCGUGAGCCACGCCGCUUCACCGGGCAGUAGCUAAUGGGUAAUCCUAUCCUAGGAAAUAACAAGGGCAAGGAAAAGGAGCAUGAAUAAAGUGAUUCGUGUGUCAAGGGCGUUUUGGAUUUCGAGGUAGUAUAUUCUACACUAGGUCUUAAUUCCUGAAUUAAGUCUACGCUAUUGCAUAUAGAAUUUUAUGUGCUUUUAUGUGAUUUUUAUAUGUUAUUUAUGACGUGAAAUACAUGAAUUUUGAAUAUGCGAUGGCAUUGUGAGAAUUGAAAUUUAAUCUGUUUAUCUGAUAUGGUACGGUAUGAAAAGAAGAUAAUGAUGUGUUAUGUUAGUAAUUAUUGAAAAUAAAUAUUGAUAUGAAAAUGAGUAUAUUUGACUGUGUUUAUGCCCCGUGCUUGAGUGUGUUCUGUGGGUACAAUUGGCAUGCCAUAGGACAGCAACGCUUCAUUUUCUGUGAUCACUCGUCUUCUGGAUAACCAAAGCGAGGAUCGUCUGUUAUCUGAUGGGCCCAUAUCUGAUCUGUCUGAUAUGCACCCUAAUGGGUGGUCUGAUUUUCUGUCUGCACCCCAAUGGGUGGUCUGUACGGUGUCCUCUCGAGGACCAUGAUCGCGUCUGUAUCUGAUUCUGUUUCUGAUCUGGUCCGCGUACCCUAGUUUGUCACUAAGCAAUUAAUGGGGCUAUAUGUGUUCUGAUAUUUGAGAAUAAUGGUGAUUGUUAUAUGUGUUAUGAUAUGUGAUUGUGUGAAACCUCUGUUAUAACUCUAAUAUAUCUGGUACAUGUUAUAUGUGUUUGGAUAUGUGAAAGCUAUAUUCUUAUGUGAAAAACGAUAUUAUGUGAUGCUAAAUGAUUUAUUCUGAUGCUAAUGAUCCUCUGAUGCAAAAAGAGUGCAUCUGACUUUGUUUGAUAUGAUUUGACGUUGUAUGAAGUUAUGAUGUUGCUCGACACUAGCAAUUGAUAAUUGAUCAUGUUUAUUGGUAUAUUAUGAGAUUAUAUGAUUAUGCCUUCAGUAAGUCCCAAGAAAUCAAAGGAGGAAGGUCAGGCUUCAAAAGAGGAAAGGUCAGACUUUUAUUGUUGGUUAUUUUGAUAUGUAUAUGGUUAUGAGAAUGUUGGCGAUCUGUAUACGCGUGGUGUAUAAAUAAUAUUGUGACAUAUUCUGUGGUUAACUCGAUAAUUGGUGAUGUGAACUUUACUUUGUGUUCUAUCUUAUUAGUUAAGAAUUUAUAUGUGAUUAUGAAUCUGGUAAAUUCCAUGAGAUCAAGGAAUGAUGACCUAAACUUAUGAUUAUGAUGUUGGGGGUUUAUGAUAAUUAGAUAUAUGUAAAUGGAUAUGAUGAGGUAGGCUUUGGAGUGUUUUCUGGAUUAAUAAUAAUGAAAACACAUAGGUUGCAUACCGUUUACUUAACUCCGGAAAUUAGGCUCUAAUAUUGAUUAUACUACUGGGCUUGUUGAAGCUCAUCCUUUUCUUUUUCCCCUCUGCAGAUUAGAGGAUCAGACCUAGCUCUUUUAUUGUUCAGCUGCAUCCAGGUCACUAGCCUAGCCAGUCUUUUGAGUUCGAGUAAUUCUUGGAUAUGUUAGUUGUGGCAUGUAUAGAAAGUGUAAUGUGGUUUGGACGUUUCAUUUACUUCGUUAUCCAGGUUGUAUAAAUAUAUAUAUAGACUUUUGGGAAACAGGUUUAUGGUCCAAUUUCAGAUGAUAUAUAGCAGUUUUUUUC
Molecule: long non-coding RNA, 2131 nt
Organism: Salvia splendens (bonfire salvia)
Lineage: Eukaryota; Viridiplantae; Streptophyta; Magnoliopsida; Lamiales; Lamiaceae
Exons: 2
Source: RefSeq, a predicted model, not a curated record